Long non-coding RNA from Odocoileus virginianus texanus, 287 nucleotides. RefSeq lists it as uncharacterized. The record is from RefSeq and is a predicted model, not a curated record. Lineage: Eukaryota; Metazoa; Chordata; Mammalia; Artiodactyla; Cervidae.
GGAGGCAGGGGGAGGCAGCCGUCGGGCACGCAGUGGACGGCGGGGGAGCCAUGGAGAGCUGCCUCCAGCUUGGAGUGGCCAAGCGACCAUUCCGGGGUCCUUCUGGAAGCCGACCUGGGACUCCAUGGUGUUGACUGAAACUUACCGCGGCAAGCUGGGCCACGAGGACGAAAGGCAACGCACCACAGGAGACUCAGUCUGCGUCCUAACUCUUCAUGAAGCCAACUUACCCACCCUGGACCGCCUACCUCUGAGAAUUCUUUGACUUACUAAAAUAAUAUGUUUGA